This 388-nucleotide ribosomal RNA is filed under the name uncultured eukaryote. RNAcentral's name for it is "partial 18S ribosomal RNA". It matches the Rfam family "Eukaryotic small subunit ribosomal RNA", at positions 592 to 976 of the family's 1831-position model. The record is from RNAcentral.
CAAUAGCGUAUAUUAAAGUUGUUGCAGUUAAAAAGCUCGUAGUUGGAUUUCUGAUCGAGACAUCAGGUCGGGUCCGAGAGGAUCAUGUACUUUGAUUUUGUUUUGAUAAUCCUUGGGGAGAGCAUUUCUGGCAUUCAGUUGUCGGGAUUGGGAUCCUCAUCGUUUACUGUGAAAAAAUUAGAGUGUUCAAAGCAGGCCUCGGCCUCUGAAUACAUUAGCAUGGAAUAAUAAGAUAGGACUUUGGUGGUCUAUUUUGUUGGUUUGCACGCCAAAGUAAUGAUUAAUAGGGAUAGUUGGGGGUAUUCGUAUUCAAUUGUCAGAGGUGAAAUUCUUGGAUUUAUGGAAGACGAACUACUGCGAAAGCAUUUACCAAGGAUGUUUUCAUUAA